Macaca fascicularis (crab-eating macaque) is the source of this 117-nucleotide unclassified non-coding RNA. It matches the Rfam family "Metazoan signal recognition particle RNA". From Rfam's summary of the family: The signal recognition particle (SRP) is a universally conserved ribonucleoprotein. The record is from Ensembl. Lineage: Eukaryota; Metazoa; Chordata; Mammalia; Primates; Cercopithecidae.
GCUGGGCGUGGUGACUCAUGCCUGUAAUCCCAGCACUUUGGGAGGCCGAGGUGGGUGGAUCACUUGAGGUCAGGAGUUCGAGACCAGCCUGGCCAACAUAGUGAAACCCCAUCUCUA